RNAcentral lists this ribosomal RNA (406 nucleotides) under uncultured bacterium. RNAcentral's name for it is "partial 16S ribosomal RNA". It matches the Rfam family "Bacterial small subunit ribosomal RNA", at positions 29 to 526 of the family's 1533-position model. The record is from RNAcentral.
AUUGAACGCUGGCGGCAGGCCUAACACAUGCAAGUCGAACGAGUGGCGGACGGGUGAGUAAUGUCUGGGAAACUGCCUGAUGGAGGGGGAUAACUACUGGAAACGGUAGCUAAUACCGCAUACCAUCAGAUUUGCCCAGAUGGGCGUAGCUUGUGGGGGGGGUAACGGCUCACCAAGGCGGAGAUCCCUAGCUGGUCUGAGAGGAUGACCAGCCACACGGGAACUGAGCAACGGUCCAGACGCCUACGUGAGGCAGCAGUGGGGAAGAUGCGACAAGGGGCGAAAGCCUGAUCAAGCCAGGCCGCGUGUGUGAAGAAGGUCUUCGGAUUGUAAAGCACUUUAAGUUGGGAGGCGGUACCAACAGAAUAAGCACCGGCUAACUUCGUGCCAGCAGCCGCGGUAAUUC